This 254-nucleotide ribosomal RNA is filed under the name uncultured bacterium. RNAcentral's name for it is "partial 16S ribosomal RNA". It matches the Rfam family "Bacterial small subunit ribosomal RNA", at positions 524 to 776 of the family's 1533-position model. The record is from RNAcentral.
UACGGGGGGAGCAAGCGUUGUUCGGAUUUACUGGGCGUAAAGGGCGCGUAGGCGGUCGUGACAAGUCACUUGUGAAAUCUCCGGGCUUAACUCGGAACGGUCAAGUGAUACUGUCGGACUAGAGUACAGAAGGGGCAACUGGAAUUCUCGGUGUAGCGGUGAAAUGCGUAGAUAUCGAGAGGAACACCUGCGGCGAAGGCGGGCUGCUGGGCUGACACUGACGCUGAUGCGCGAAAGCUAGGGGAGCGAACGGG